Molecule: RNA transcript, 4008 nt
Organism: Varanus komodoensis (Komodo dragon)
Lineage: Eukaryota; Metazoa; Chordata; Lepidosauria; Squamata; Varanidae
Gene: RPUSD3
Gene name: RNA pseudouridine synthase D3
Exons: 12
Source: RefSeq, a predicted model, not a curated record
UGCACGUGGUUGUCUGAAUGGACCUCCCCCUCCGUAACCCGCUAAGGUCUCUCGGGAUGUUUGGUUCCAGCGCUUGGCGCCUGUUCCGUGGGUGUGGAAGCUCAUGGGUAUCCUUCAGUACGCGCGCAUGGUACCAGUUGUUUCUGAAGCAAAGAGGCUUGGGGAAACCAGAGGCAGACCAUUCUGUUCGAGUAAAGAUCUUGGGGCCCCAAAACCCACUGGGGCGUGAGGAACUGCUGAAGCUACUGGCAGCAUCAGUGGUGCACAGAGAUGAUGCACUGGUGGCCUUCAGCAAACCCCCAGGCUUACCUGUUUCAGGCAAACCAGGGGAAUUGACUUUCCUGUCUCUUCUACCGGAUCUAAGCCAGAAGCUGGGCCUCCCGCAGGAUCUCCAGGUGAUCAAAGCUGCAGUAAAGGAGAGUUCUGGACUUGUUCUGCUCUCAGGUUGCCCAAAUACCUGCCUGCUCCUCCAAGAUUUCUACACUAAGAGCCGGAGGGCAAAAUGUCCAGCUGCUACUUACUGUGCUGUCACCACCAGGAUCCCUGCAGCUUUGGAGGGGGAAGUCCGUACAGGCCUCAAGUUGAUGCCGGUGGAAGAUUUUGAUCUGGUGGUGCCCGUGGCUUCCCCAUCUCAGCGCAGCCUCGAAAGGAGGGAGGUAAAAAAUACACGGACGCUCUACAAGGUGCUGGACUCCUGUGAUGGCUGCGCCCUGCUACAACUGCAGCCCUUAUCAGCCUUCACUGGCCAGCUCCUGGUACACCUGACCCUCAUCCUGAGCCCUGUCCUGGGUGACCAUGUCUAUUCUUCCCGUGUGGGGACCGUACUGGGAGAGCCCUUCCUCUUGCCUGCUGAAACUACUCUGCCUCGGACACAGAUUCUAGAGGAGUCCCUGUUGAAGAAGCUCCACGUGCAGCAGCAGCAGGUGCAUCGCUUGCCGCUCCACCUCCACCUGCACCAGCUCCUCCUCCCUACUGCAGCCUCCUCCAGCACUACCACUGUGCUCACAGCCCCUCUGCCGCCGUAUUUCCUGCAGACGCUUUCUCUCCUGGGACUCGCUUUGCCACAGGACAAGCAGGGAGAGAAGACAUCCAAAGCACUUGCCCAAAUCCAGAAGCCUCAGCCCACCCCAGUCAAAAGGACGGGGCGGCCUUAAAGCCAGGAGCCCAGAGCAGGAGAAGGGGCCCAGCACUGCAGCCAGCGUGGGUGAAGAAUCUUGCUACCUGCUGGCAAGAUGCUCACAGAGCUUGAAGCAGAGCUGCAGAAAUGGACACGCAAAGGCUUCCUUCACAGCUGUGGUCAGUCUUAAGUUGGCUGCAGGAGCGAUUUCAAGUGAUUAUUAUCUAUACAUCUGGAAACCAGUUUCAGCAGGCCAUCAGACAAAAAGGUAACCGAGAGAAAGAACACGGGAAUCAGCUCUGUGGCUGGAUGUUGCCAUGCUCUAACUUCAGCAACAGCAUUUGUGUGGCAGAGACCUACUAAACGGCUUCAUACGGAAGAGGAAAGAGGCAAAGCAGCAGAGAAACAAUGCCUUCUCCAGGGUCAAGGGAUGCACCACUGAAGACUUCACCGAGAUCCACGCACGGGAAAGGGAGAGCCAUGGCCGGAGGCGAAGUCACCCGUCUGAUGGCGGUUCUGGGGAGCCUGAGGAGGCCCCACCGUCUUCAGCACUGAGGCAGCUGGGUCGGGAAUGGCACUGCAUGCUCAGGGUACUCAAGGCAUUCCAAACCAAGGUGACUUUCGAAGUGCGACUCCCAUGGCGCUGCUCCUCUGCCUUCCGUUUUAUCAGGCCGAAGACCGUCGGCUGCCCUGACGGAACGGUCCUGUGUGGUCUCACAGCCUUUUCCCCCCCACACGAGGCAAGACGGACAUCUGGUUUUCAAAAGCUGGUACAUGAGGCAGCAGGACCUGCUGCUGCUCAUCCUAGGGGCACAUGAGCGAGGAAAGGAGCAAAGGUUACUGGACUGGCAGAAGGAAGCCUGGCUAAAUGAGGGGGCGGGAUGUCGCCACCUCAGCUCUUGCUCAAAGCUGCUGCACAAGGUCACAUUGGAGAAAGCUGCUUCGGGCAGUCCCUGUCUUGGCCACUGCAGGAAGAGGCACGCAGGCCUGGAUAGCGAGGCUCCUCAGGGCAGGAGGGGCAUCGCGUGAGCACCCGCGGACUCACUGCAUACCUGCGACUGGCAAGAGAAGACUGCCUUGCGGUAGCAGAGUCUGGGAGCGCCAGAAAGCAGGGGGCCCGCCCUGGAGCGGCAGCACAGCACUGUCCAGCGUGGCACGGCCUUUCCGUCUUUGCAGAAGAGGCGGGGGAGUCUGCAGAGGGCAGCCGGGCCUGGGGAAGAACCAAUAACACAGCCACACAGUGAGACCCAGACGUGCCGAACACUGACUUGCCCCUUGAAUGCUGGCGGCUGGCUUCUCAGCCAUUCACGGAAACGGGGAAGCAAAACUGUGCAGCAUUUUCCAAAGCUCCCUGUGUUAAUGGCAGUCUGCAACAGCAAGGGUGGCGUGAGGCGGCUCUGACCCCUGACUCGCCACACUUUAACCCACAGCAACUAGCAGGUAAGAAAACAGAAGCAAUGGACAAUGAAAUGAGAUGGAUGGAGAAGCAACAGAGCACACGCCCCAUCAUUGAAGAGGUCCACGCAGCAGGCAGGCAUAGAGCUGAAUCUCUGGACUGAAAAACACUUAUCUCGUCUGCAGGCUCUACCCUGAAGCCAGAGCCCCUGAACCUCUUUCUGCUUGAAUUAAGUUUCACAGCAGCUCUUGGCAGCUGCAUUGCAGGUGAUCAGGACCAAAAGCAAAGGGGCUGGGCCAACACACACACACACACCUUGCACAGAGGACUUCAACCUUUGCUUGACACAAAAGGCUGAGAAACCAUUGGAUCAUUGGUAGUUGGGGGAAAGUGAGUGGGGUCAUCUGAGGAUCCCAGGGAUUGGCUCCUAGGACUCUGAGGUUCUUCAUCCCUGCCCUGAAGGGGAAGAAUCUCUCCAAAUGAAAAGCAGUUGGGGAGAAAAUAUUUGGAGAUAAUGUCACUGUGCAGAAUAGCAAAUUUUAUUAUGGAAAGAAGAGAAAAGAAGCAAUAGUUGGUGAAGAGUUUUGGAGACAGGAAAUUGGAAUCUGAUGAGAAUGAGACUGUGGGCAUAGCUGACUCUAAUGGCAGUGGGGUGUGUUGAACUUUUAUGGAGCCAUCCAUGUUGCUGAACCCAAUCCACCAAAAUAGGCUAAUCACUAUGGGGAUCUCCUUUGAAGUUUGGACUGAAAUUCAGAGUAGAUACACCACCCCACUGAUAUUGAAGAUGGCAGCUAUUGGUGGAGCAAGAAGUCUGGUUGCAUUUUGUGGGUUUUAUGGGCAGAGGUGGCCUCUGCUGCUCCUUAUGGGACGGCUGAGGGUUUGCUUGGUGCACAAAGCGCUUAGGGUCAGUGGGUGGGGAAGGAGCUCUUGCAUUUUAAGAGCUGAAAUUCAACCCGCAACAUCCCCAUCACUGUAUCUCAGAGAUGCUACAACAUUGAGGCUUUGGGGUGAGGGCUGGGACCGCUCCCCCACCCUGUUUCAGUCAUCUCAAGCAGCAGCCUGCUGGUCUCCUAGCCAGUGCUGCUCCUCACCUGCCAUGGGUGGUUGGCAGAAACUUAACUUGCAUUGCUUGUUAUUGGGAGAAGGAGUGGGGCUCACAGCAGGAUGCUGUGGUGUGGAGCGCUCUUUUCAGGGUGGCAGCCGGCCAGGAUGCUCCCCCAGGACAGAGUCUUGUCUGGCUACUGAGCAUGCUCAGUCCCCUUUCGGUGGCUCCAUUCCCUCUCUUUCCUUUGUUCCUUCCAGGGGCUUUCCCCUUCCAAAACAGCAAAGAAGCUUGAGGAACCAGAAAUAUGAGCAUUUUUUCCCGGUGAUUACAGCAAAGCAAGGAAGAGUCUUCUAGCACCUCAGAUACUAAGGAAUCUAUUAUGGUAUUAGCAUUUAGAGCCUAAAGUCCACAAAAGCUCAUGCCAUAAUAAAGUCUUUAAAACGGCCACAA